Molecule: long non-coding RNA, 455 nt
Filed under: Pogona vitticeps (central bearded dragon)
Lineage: Eukaryota; Metazoa; Chordata; Lepidosauria; Squamata; Agamidae
Description: lncRNA (ENSPVIG00000016888.1)
Source: RNAcentral
ACAUGUCCCAAGAAAGAAAGAAUAAGCUUGAUCCUAGUCUCUCCUCCUCCCAAGAGUGAAGAAGCUGAAGUAGGGCCACUGUUAGAACAGUCAUGAGAUGUCUCCAAAGCAGAUUUACUGAUUUAGCAAACACUCCUUCUUGCUAGACUGUCUUGAAGACUGCAGUUCGCACCCAGAGGUGAAAUGGGUUUAAAGAUUUACAGAUUCUCAGCAACUAGAAGAACCUACAGUUGUGAAAGGGGGGCUCAUUAGAGUUGGACCAGUAGCCAGGAUAUCUCCACACUGGACAAGACAUACGCACCCCUGUACCUCCAAACAGAUGCAUUCAUUGAAGUUGUGGAGGAGGGAGAGAGAAAAGACUGAAAUAUAAAGGAUCAGAGGGUGGAGAACAUCUCAAACAAGAAUUAGCCAGCCAUAACUUCCUUCAGGAUUUUUAUUGUUGGGUUGUGUGUAAA